UCUUCUAGAAAGAUACGGCUCAGUAACACGUGGAUAACCUACCCUUAGGACCGGGAUAACCCUGGGAAACUGGGGAUAAUACUGGAUAUAUGGAGAUACCUGGAAUGGUUCUCCACUUAAAGCUCCGGCGCCUAAGGAUGGAUCUGCGGCAGAUUAGGUCGUUGGUGGGGUAAUGGCCCACCAAGCCUUUGAUCUGUACGGGUUGUGAGAGCAAGAGCCCGGAGAUGGAACCUGAGACAAGGUUCCAGGCCUUACGGGGCGCAGCAGGCGCGAAACCUCCGCAAUGCGAGCAAUCGCGACGGGGGGACCCCAAGUGCCACUCUUAACGGGGUGGCUUUUUUUAAGUGUAAAAAGCUUUUGGAAUAAGGGCUGGGCAAGACCGGUGCCAGCCGCCGCGGUAACACCGGCAGCCCAAGUGGUGGCCAUUUUUAUUGGGCCUAAAGCGUUCGUAGCCGGCCUGAUAAGUCUCUGGUGAAAUCCCGCAGCUUAACUGUGGGAAUUGCUGGAGAUACUAUCAGGCUUGAGGUCGGGAGAGGUUAGAGGUACUCCCAGGGUAGGGGUGAAAUCCUAUAAUCCUGGGAGGUCCACCUGUGGCUAAGGCGUCUAACUGGAACGAACCUGACGGUGAGUAACGAAAGCCAGGGGCGCGACCCCGAUUAGAUACCCGGGUAGCCCUGGCCGUAAACGAUGUGGACUUGGUGUUGGGAUGGCCUCGAGCCUGCCCCUCUGCCGAAGGGAAGUUGUUAACUCCCUCGCCUGGGAAUUACGGUCGCAAGACUGAAACUUAAACGAAUUGGUGGGGGAGC
RNAcentral lists this ribosomal RNA (806 nucleotides) under uncultured archaeon. RNAcentral's name for it is "bacterial SSU rRNA". It matches the Rfam family "Archaeal small subunit ribosomal RNA", at positions 71 to 877 of the family's 1478-position model. The record is from RNAcentral.